UACGUAGGGUGCGAGCGUUGUCUGGAAUUAUUGGGCGUAAAGAGCUCGUAGGCGGUGUGUCGCGUCGGUCGUGAAAACUUUCAGCUUAACUGGGUGCUUGCGGUCGAUACGGGCAUCACUGGAGUUCGGCAGGGGAGACUGGAAUUCCUGGUGUAGCGGUGAAAUGCGCAGAUAUCAGGAGGAACACCGGUGGCGAAGGCGGGUCUCUGGGCAACAACUGACGCUGAGGAGCGAAAGCGUGGGGAGCGAACAGG
Molecule: ribosomal RNA, 254 nt
Filed under: uncultured bacterium
Lineage: Bacteria
Description: partial 16S ribosomal RNA
Rfam family: Bacterial small subunit ribosomal RNA
Source: RNAcentral